AGUCGAGCGAGGUCCAACCAGUCGCAAGGCUGGGGAAGACCUAGCGGCGAACGGGUGAGUAACACGUGAGCAACCUGCCCCGAAGACCGGGAUAACACCGGGAAACCGGUGCUAAUACCGGAUGCCCCCACCGGGCCGCAUGACCCGGUGAGGAAAGGGUUUCCGCUUCGGGAGGGGCUCGCGGCCUAUCAGCUUGUUGGUGGGGUAAUGGCCCACCAAGGCUUCGACGGGUAGCUGGUCUGAGAGGACGACCAGCCACACUGGGACUGAGACACGGCCCAGACUCCUACGGGAGGCAGCAGUGGGGAAUCUUGCGCAAUGGGCGAAAGCCUGACGCAGCAACGCCGCGUGGGGGAUGAAGGCCUUCGGGUUGUAAACCCCUUUCAGUAGGGACGAAAUUGACGGUACCUGCAGAAGAAGCCCCGGCCAACUACGUGCCAGCAGCCGCGGUAAUACGUAGGGGGCAAGCGUUGUCCGGAUUCAUUGGGCGUAAAGAGCUCGUAGGCGGCUUAGCAAGUCGGGUGUGAAAACUUCAGGCUCAACCUGGAGAUGCCACCCGAUACUGCUAUGGCUAGAGUCCGGUAGGGGACCACGGAAUUCCUGGUGUAGCGGUGAAAUGCGCAGAUAUCAGGAGGAACACCGGUAGCGAAGGCGGUGGUCUGGGCCGGCACUGACGCUGAGGAGCGAAAGCGUGGGGGGCAAACAGGAUUAGAUACCCUGGUAGUCCACGCCGUAAACGGUGGGUACUAGGUGUGGGGCCUUAUCAACGGGUUCCGUGCCGCAGCUAACGCAUUAAGUACCCCGCCUGGGGAGUACGGCCGCAAGGCUAAAACUCAAAGGAAUUGACGGGGGCCCGCACAAGCGGCGGAGUAUGUGGCUUAAUUCGAAGCAACGCGAAGAACCUUACCUGGGCUUGACAUGUAGGGAAAAGCCGUAGAGAUACGGUGUCCUUCGGGGCCCUACACAGGUGGUGCAUGGCUGUCGCCAGCUCGUGUCGUGAGAUGUUGGGUUAAGUCCCGCAACGAGCGCAACCCUUGUCCUAUGUUGCCAGCGGGUAAUGCCGGGGACUCGUAGGAGACUGCCGGGGUCAACUCGGAGGAAGGUGGGGAUGACGUCAAGUCAUCAUGCCCCUUACGUCCAGGGCUGCACUCAUGCUACAAUGGCCGGUACAAAG
This 1174-nucleotide ribosomal RNA is filed under the name uncultured bacterium. RNAcentral describes it as "bacterial SSU rRNA". It matches the Rfam family "Bacterial small subunit ribosomal RNA", at positions 60 to 1244 of the family's 1533-position model. The record is from RNAcentral.